GACGAACGCUGGCGGCGUGCCUAACACAUGCAAGUCGAACGGAAAGGCCCUGCUUUUGUGGGGUGCUUGAGUGGCGAACGGGUGAGUAACACGUGAGUAACCUGCCCUUGACUUUGGGAUAACUCUAGGAAACUGGGGCUAAUACCGGAUAGGAGCUCCUGCUGCAUGGUGGGGGUUGGAAAGUUUCGGUGGUGGGGGAUGGACUCGCGGCUUAUCAGCUUGAUGGUGAGGUAGUGGCUUACCAAGGGUUUGAGGGGUAGCCGGCCUGGGAGGGUGACCGGGGACAUGAGUACUAAGGUAGGGCCCAGAAUGCAACGGGAGGCAGCGGUGGAAAGUCUUACGCAGUAAGCGGAAGCCUGAUACGACGACGCCGCGUGCGGAAUGACGGGCUUCGGGUUGUAAACCGCUUUGGACUGUAACGAAGCGAGAGUGACGGUAAUGGAUAAGAAAGCACCGGCUAACUACGUG
Molecule: ribosomal RNA, 468 nt
Filed under: uncultured bacterium
Lineage: Bacteria
Description: partial 16S ribosomal RNA
Rfam family: Bacterial small subunit ribosomal RNA
Source: RNAcentral